Molecule: ribozyme, 77 nt
Filed under: Crocodylus porosus (Australian saltwater crocodile)
Lineage: Eukaryota; Metazoa; Chordata; Crocodylia; Crocodylidae
Description: Mammalian CPEB3 ribozyme (ENSCPRG00005004344.1)
Rfam family: Mammalian CPEB3 ribozyme
About the family: The mammalian CPEB3 ribozyme is a self cleaving RNA located in the second intron of the CPEB3 gene which belongs to a family of genes regulating messenger RNA polyadenylation. This ribozyme is highly conserved and found only in mammals.
Source: Rfam by way of RNAcentral
GGUGACAAGUUUGGGGCCAUAGCAGAACUGCUCAUGGUGCAGCCCUCUCAGAUUCCAAUGAAUCUGUGAAUUCUGCU